RNAcentral lists this ribosomal RNA (497 nucleotides) under uncultured bacterium. RNAcentral's name for it is "partial 16S ribosomal RNA". It matches the Rfam family "Bacterial small subunit ribosomal RNA", at positions 28 to 507 of the family's 1533-position model. The record is from RNAcentral.
GAUGAACGCUGGCGGCGUGCCUAAUACAUGCAAGUCGAGCGAACAGGCGAGGAGCUUGCUCCUCUGACGUUAGCGGCGGACGGGUGAGUAACACGUGGAUAACCUACCUAUAAGACUGGGAUAACUUCGGGAAACCGGAGCUAAUACCGGAUAAUAUAUUGAACCGCAUGGUUCAAUAGUGAAAGACGGUUUUGCUGUCACUUAUAGAUGGAUCCGCGCCGCAUUAGCUAGUUGGUAAGGUAACGGCUUACCAAGGCAACGAUGCGUAGCCGACCUGAGAGGGUGAUCAGCCACACUGGAACUGAGACACGGUCCAGACUCCUACGGGAGGCAGCAGUAGGGAAUCUUCCGCAAAGGGCGAAAGCCUGACGGAGCAACGCCGCGUGAGUGAUGAAGUUCUUCGGAUCGUAAAACUCUGUUAUUAGGGAAGAACAAAUGUGUAAGUAACUAUGCACGUCUUGACGGUACCUAAUCAGAAAGCCACGGCUAACUACGUG